Molecule: long non-coding RNA, 1518 nt
Organism: Clupea harengus (Atlantic herring)
Lineage: Eukaryota; Metazoa; Chordata; Actinopteri; Clupeiformes; Clupeidae
Source: Ensembl
UCAGUGUAAUUUCUUCGCUGAAUAUGGGUCUACAUCAGUAUUUGGGGCAAUGCGACUUGGCUAUUCAGACAUAAAUAUGUCGACGGGCCGAGGUAUAUUUAUAAAAAUAAAAAAAGUCAAUGGUGAACUGAUCAACAUAGGCUCAUGUCGCGGACCCCCUGCAAUGCCGUCGCGGACCACCAGGGGGCCACGGACCCCUGGUUGAAAACCCCUGAUCUGGAGCACAGGGACGAAAACGAAGAAUGGAAGAAGAGGAAAAGAAAGCCAAGUAUAGAGGUAAGUCUUCUCAUCUCAGCCAUUAAGGUGUCAACCGAAAUAAAUGUAGUAUUGUGCAUCACCUAAUAUUGGACGUUUCAUUGCUGUCACUUAGGCUAGCUAUAGCUAGCUAGCGACUCUUACUUUGCUAAUUUGCUACGUAGGCUAUUACUAGCAAACGUAACUUCACUCAUAACCUAGAUGGAUGUAAAUGUCAAAAGACCAGUAUCUGGAUAACAUAUGCUAGUUAUGAAAAGUACAGUUGCUGUCUACAUUCAUUAUAAAUGGCAUAAGUUCUGUUUAGUGAAUUCACAACUAGCAGGUGCAUACACACCGUAACCAUUUUGGGGAAUAAACUAAAAUACCAGGAAUAUACUAAAAUAUACAGUAUAUGUGUUUUUUAUUUUUGUUUUAAACUGGCCAGAUGCACUCAGGCAAUUUUUGCAGAGGCCGGCACCUGCUGGAGAAAGGACGCCUGAUUCGCCUCCCUCUGAACUUUGUAAGUAGCCUACACAACUAGUACUAUUGUUGCUGUUUUUGUUAUUGUAAUUAUUAUUAGCAAUUAUUACUUUCAUAAACAUUAAUACUACUAAUUGUAAUCAGUAGCCUAGUAUUAUUUAGCCUUGUAGCAGUGGUGGCAGUAAUUGUAAUUUAUCUACUACAAGCUACAUGGUCAGAUAAAAUGUGUUAAUGCAACUAUACGGUAGGAUGAUAGAAAUGACCAAAUGCAAUUGUGAAACGAACAGCAUGGAUGAACUCUGUGUUUAAAUACAGCUGCAGGAGAAGGGUCAUCCAGUAGUACUCAAGGGGCCAGGAACACACAGCCUGCAUCAGGUGAAGGGACAUCCAGGACCACAUCAAGCACUCAGGGCACCAGUGAAACUACACUGCCGCCUGCAGACACCUCACCCUCCGCAGUUCGACCGAACCCAGGUUAAGAACCACUGGUAUAGAUGGUCAUAAUUUGCUUAAAUGUCCUUACAGGUGCUUAAGAGUGUUUUGCACAGUGUAUGGUUUUGCACAGUUUAUGGAGUUGAUUUAAUCCUAACUUUGAGUGUGUAAUAAAUUAUUUAAAAUAAUAAAAAAGAAAAUGUUCUGAAACUAUUCUGGUGUUUGUUGUCCAUGCACCAUUUAUUGUUGAACUGCAAUGUAGAAUAGUAAAAUUAUAAGUGGGUGAAAAAACUGCUAUGCAAAGUAAAGCAGUUAAGUUAAUAUAUGUCUCUUCAGUGAUGUUAAGUAUUGUGUGUGUGUGUGUGGGGGGGG